Molecule: non-coding RNA, 29 nt
Filed under: Cricetulus griseus (Chinese hamster)
Lineage: Eukaryota; Metazoa; Chordata; Mammalia; Rodentia; Cricetidae
Source: RNAcentral
GACAAGCUCUCUACUGAUGACCUGAACUC